RNAcentral lists this ribosomal RNA (464 nucleotides) under Vreelandella stevensii. RNAcentral's name for it is "partial 16S ribosomal RNA". It matches the Rfam family "Bacterial small subunit ribosomal RNA", at positions 338 to 794 of the family's 1533-position model. The record is from RNAcentral. Lineage: Bacteria; Pseudomonadati; Pseudomonadota; Gammaproteobacteria; Oceanospirillales; Halomonadaceae.
CCUACGGGAGGCAGCAGUGGGGAAUAUUGGACAAUGGGGGGAACCCUGAUCCAGCCAUGCCGCGUGUGUGAAGAAGGCCCUCGGGUUGUAAAGCACUUUCAGUGAGGAAGAACGCCUGGUGGUUAAUACCCAUCAGGAAAGACAUCACUCACAGAAGAAGCACCGGCUAACUCCGUGCCAGCAGCCGCGGUAAUACGGAGGGUGCGAGCGUUAAUCGGAAUUACUGGGCGUAAAGCGCGCGUAGGUGGCUUGAUAAGCCGGUUGUGAAAGCCCCGGGCUCAACCUGGGAACGGCAUCCGGAACUGUCAAGCUAGAGUGCAGGAGAGGAAGGUAGAAUUCCCGGUGUAGCGGUGAAAUGCGUAGAGAUUGGGAGGAAUACCAGUGGCGAAGGCGGCCUUCUGGACUGACACUGACACUGAGGUGCGAAAGCGUGGGUAGCAAACAGGAUUAGAUACCCGUGUAGC